GAUGAACGCUAGCGGCAGGCCUAACACUUGCAAGUCGAGGGAGAAGCCCUUCGGGGCAGAAACCGGCGCACGGGUGCGUAACGCGUAUGCAACCUACCUUUCACAGGGGGAUAGCCCGAAGAAAUUUGGAUUAAUACCCCAUAAUAUUGUUGGAUGGCAUCAUCUGGCAAUUAAAACUGAGGUGGUGAGAGAUGGGCAUGCGUCCUAUUAGCUAGUUGGAGUGGUAACGGCACCCCAAGGCUACGAUAGGUAGGGGUCCUGAGAGGGAGAUCCCCCACACUGGUACUGAGACAGGGACCAGACUCCUACGGGAGGCAGCAGUGAGGAAUAUUGGUCAAUGGUCGGAAGACUGAACCAGCCAUGCCGCGUGCAGGAAGAAUGCCUUAUGGGUUGUAGACUGCUUUUAUAUGGGAAGAAUAAGGUGUACGUGUACAUGAUGACGGUACCAUAGAUAG
This 455-nucleotide ribosomal RNA is filed under the name Capnocytophaga gingivalis. RNAcentral describes it as "bacterial SSU rRNA". It matches the Rfam family "Bacterial small subunit ribosomal RNA", at positions 28 to 487 of the family's 1533-position model. The record is from RNAcentral. Lineage: Bacteria; Pseudomonadati; Bacteroidota; Flavobacteriia; Flavobacteriales; Flavobacteriaceae.